Molecule: ribosomal RNA, 424 nt
Filed under: uncultured bacterium
Lineage: Bacteria
Description: bacterial SSU rRNA
Rfam family: Bacterial small subunit ribosomal RNA
Source: RNAcentral
GUGAGGAAUUUUCCGCAAUGGGCGAAAGCCUGACGGAGCGACGCCGUGUGUGGGAUGACGUUUUUCGGAAUGUAAACCACUGUCAGGGGGGAAGAUAUUGACGGUACCCCCAGAGGAAGGCCCGGCUAACUACGUGCCAGCAGCCGCGGUAAUACGUAGGGGCCAAGCGUUGUCCGGAAUCAUUGGGCGUAAAGGGCGUGCAGGCGGUUCGGUAAGUCGGAUGUUAAAUCUACAGGCUCAACCUGUAGCCGCAUCCGAUACUACCGAACUAGAGAGUGGUAGAGGAAAGCGGAACUUCCGGUGUAGCGGUGAAAUGCGUAGAUAUCGGAAGGAACACCAGUGGCGAAGGCGGCUUUCUGGGCCAUUUCUGACGCUGAGACGCGAAAGCCAGGGGAGCAAACGGGAUUAGAUACCCGAGUAGUCC